CUUCCGUAGGGUGACCUGCGGAAGGAUCAUUACUGUGAUUUAUAUCUUAUACACAUGCGUGAGCGCACCAAACACCUAAAAUUGUAAUAAUAACUGUCAGUAAGUUUUAACAAAACAAAACUUUCAACAACGGAUCUCUUGGUUCUCGCAUCGAUGAAGAGCGCAGCGAAAUGCGAUACCUAGUGUGAAUUGCAGCCAUCGUGAAUCAUCGAGUUCUUGAACGCACAUUGCGCCCCAUGGUAUUCCAUGGGGCAUGCCUGUCUGAGCGUCGUUUCCUUCUUGCGCAAGCAGAGUUGAGAACAGGCUAUGCCUUUUUCGAAAUGGAACGUCGUGGACGAAGUGAACUAAACAUUUAGCAGCGCGUGUUGUGCCGUCACGAACUUUMGACUAGCUCGCAACUGAGACACGCGAGACGCGCAUGCAAC
This 425-nucleotide ribosomal RNA is filed under the name Pichia kluyveri. RNAcentral describes it as "eukaryotic LSU rRNA". The stretch from base 119 to 271 matches the Rfam family "5.8S ribosomal RNA". Lineage: Eukaryota; Fungi; Ascomycota; Pichiomycetes; Pichiales; Pichiaceae. The record is from RNAcentral.